RNAcentral lists this long non-coding RNA (570 nucleotides) under Mus musculus (house mouse). RNAcentral's name for it is "elncRNA-EC15". Lineage: Eukaryota; Metazoa; Chordata; Mammalia; Rodentia; Muridae. The record is from RNAcentral.
GCCAAGUGAAAAGGUCAGUAAAUUCUGUUCUGAAGAAUCAGGAGAAGAAUCCAAUACGAGUGAUUAAAAAAAAAAGAAAACAAGAAAAGAAAGAAAAAAAGAAAAGAAAAGAAAGAAAGAAAACGAUGACCUUUUGAGGAUUUUUUUCCUGUGAUGUACUUUACCUUUUGCUACAUGUGAGAUCCAUAUCAGAAACUCAGCUGCCUGUGGGUGGUUUACAUUCUCAGUGAGUUUUACUUCCAUUACAUUUUUCUGAGGGGAAGAAAAAAACUGGCUUUGGCAAAGCAGGUGUGAGAAUUAAACAAGAAGGCCGCUGUAUUCUCAGAGAGGAAGGGCUGCUUCACCACAGCCUCUCACCGCACCAACCCAGACACCAGAGAGAAUGUCUUCUCACAGCAAUGUUCUCAGAAGCACCAUCAAUCAUUUGCUUAUAUAUCUUUCAACAGAUUCCACCCGUCAUCUAGUUUAGAAGAAACAAUUUGAGGCAUUAACUUGGUGAGAGAAGGCCUUGGUGGAAUCUUGUUCCUGAGUCCAGAACCUAAACCUCUGAAAGGGAGGCAGCUGAGUGUG